GUUAGCGGCGGACGGGUGAGUAACACGUGGGUAACCUACCUAUAAGACUGGGACAACUUCGGGAAACCGGAGCUAAUACCGGAUAAUAUGUUGAACCGCAUGGUUCAAUAGUGAAAGAUGGUUUUGCUAUCACUUAUAGAUGGACCCGCGCCGUAUUAGCUAGUUGGUGAGGUAACGGCUCACCAAGGCAACGAUACGUAGCCGACCUGAGAGGGUGAUCGGCCACACUGGAACUGAGACACGGUCCAGACUCCUACGGGAGGCAGCAGUAGGGAAUCUUCCGCAAUGGGCGAAAGCCUGACGGAGCAACGCCGCGUGAGUGAUGAAGGUCUUAGGAUCGUAAAACUCUGUUAUUAGGGAAGAACAAACGUGUAAGUAACUGUGCACGUCUUGACGGUACCUAAUCAGAAAGCCACGGCUAACUACGUGCCAGCAGCCGCGGUAAUACGUAGGUGGCAAGCGUUAUCCGGAAUUAUUGGGCGUAAAGCGCGCGUAGGCGGUUUUUUAAGUCUGAUGUGAAAGCCCACGGCUCAACCGUGGAGGGUCAUUGGAAACUGGAAAACUUGAGUGCAGAAGAGGAAAGUGGAAUUCCAUGUGUAGCGGUGAAAUGCGCAGAGAUAUGGAGGAACACCAGUGGCGAAGGCGACUUUCUGGUCUGUAACUGACGCUGAUGUGCGAAAGCGUGGGGAUCAAACAGGAUUAGAUACCCUGGUAGUCCACGCCGUAAACGAUGAGUGCUAAGUGUUAGGGGGUUUCCGCCCCUUAGUGCUGCAGCUAACGCAUUAAGCACUCCGCCUGGGGAGUACGAC
RNAcentral lists this ribosomal RNA (809 nucleotides) under uncultured Staphylococcus sp. Its description in RNAcentral is "bacterial SSU rRNA". It matches the Rfam family "Bacterial small subunit ribosomal RNA", at positions 91 to 886 of the family's 1533-position model. Lineage: Bacteria; Bacillati; Bacillota; Bacilli; Caryophanales; Staphylococcaceae. The record is from RNAcentral.